UACGGGAGGCAGCAGUGGGGAAUAUUGGACAAUGGGCGAAAGCCUGAUCCAGCCAUGCCGCAUGAGUGAAGAAGGCCUUCGGGUUGUAAAGCUCUUUUAGUGAGAAAGAUAAUGACGGUACUCACAGAAGAAGUCCUGGCUAACUCCGUGCCAGCAGCCGCGGUAAUACGGAGAGGGCUAGCGUUAUUCGGAAUUAUUGGGCGUAAAGAGCGCGUAGGCUGAUUAGUAAGUUAAAAGUGAAAUCCCAAAGCUUAACUUUGGAAUUGCUUUUUAAAAACUGCUAGUCUAGAGAUUGAAAGAGGAUAGAGGAAUUCCUAGUGUAGAGGUGAAAUUCGUAAAUAUUAGGAGGAACACCAGUGGCGAAGGCGUCUAUCUGGUUCAAAUCUGACGCUGAGGCGCGAAAGGGCGUGGGGAGCAAACAGGGAUUAGAUACC
This 434-nucleotide ribosomal RNA is filed under the name uncultured bacterium. RNAcentral describes it as "bacterial SSU rRNA". It matches the Rfam family "Bacterial small subunit ribosomal RNA", at positions 340 to 786 of the family's 1533-position model. The record is from RNAcentral.